UUCUUUCAUAGUAGGUCUUGGGAAAAAAAAAAAAAGUCGUAAAGUUUUGUGUAUAUGGGAAGUCCUAAUUUCUCUUUCAGCUUUUAAGAAGAAUUAUGUGGGAUAUAGAAUUCUUGGUUAUUUUCUUUGAAUAUAGCUUACAAGAAUUCCGCUAAUAAUUUUACUAAGAGGCCCUUAUAUAUGACAAGUUGCUUUUCCCUUGUUGCUUUCAAAAUUCUUUGUCUUUCCACAGUUUAAUUAUAAUAUGUCUUGGUGUGGGUCUGCCUUUUUGAAUGCAUUCUAUUUGAAGUUAGUUAAGAUAUUUGGAUGUUAAUAUUUAUGUCCUUCAUCAAAUUUGGGAAGACUUCAGACUCUUCCUUUUAGUAUUUUCUCUGCCUUUUUCUUUGUCUCUCUUCUCCUUCUGAGACCCUACAAUGUGAUGUUGUUCACUUGAUGGUGUCCCACAAGCCCCUUAGGCCUAUUCACUUAAAAGAAGUUUUUAUUUUUGUUUCUCAAACUUGAUAAUCUCCACUGUCCUAUGUUCAAGUUCAGAUUCUUUCUUUUGCCUGAUUAAAUCUGUCUUUAAAUCACUCUAGUAAAUUUUUAUUUUAGUUAUUGUACUUUCCAGUUCCAGAAUUUUUUUAGGUUUUCUAUUUUUUAAUUGAUAUUCCCGUCUUGUUAUACAUUGUUUUCUUGACUUUUUCUAUGCCUUAAACUUGCCCAAUUUGUUUUGUAAGACAGUAGUUUUAAAGUACUUGUCUAGUAGAUCCACCAUCAGCUCUUUUUCAGGAAGAGUUUCUGUUCAUUCAUUUCUCUCCUUUGAAUGGGACAUCCUUUUCUAUUUUUUUGUAUGCCUUGUGAUUUGUGUGUGUAGUACCCUGGACAUUUUAUUUUAAUAAUGUGAUAACUCUGGAAAUUAUAUUUCCUCCCUUCUCUCAGGUUUGCUGGUGUUUUUGUUUGGUUUUGCUUUUGGUUUUUUAUUGUUGUAGGCUGUAUCUGUAUAGAGGAUUAGUUAGAGGUAUAAACUCAAAGUCUUCUCUGGUGUUUUCUCAGCCUGUGUCUUCCCCUGUGCAUGGACAAUGACUUUCUAAUUUCUCCAUAUAUGAAAUUACUUUUUUUUUUUUUUUGAGACAGGAUCUCAUUCUGUUGCCUAGGCUGGAAGGCAGUGGUGACUGGCAUGAUCUCAGCUCAUUCCAACUUCCAUCUCCUGGGUUCAAGUGAUUCUCCUGCCUCAGCCUCCUGUGUAGCUGGGAUUACAGGUGUUCACCACCACGCCUGGCUAAUUUUUGUAUUUUAAGUAGAGAUGGGGUCUCACCAAGUUGGCAAGGCUGGUCUUGAGCUCCUGACCUCAGGUGAUCCACCUGCCUCAGCCUCCCAAAGUGCUAGGAUUACAGGCGAGAGCCACCACACCUGGCCUGCAAUUACUUUUCAAUAUCCUUGUUUUCAAUGUCUGGCUCCCAAAAGGAGGAAAAAGAGAGAAAUGAAGGAGAAAAAUUUAUUGGUCCUUUAAGUUCCCUGGAAAUCAUUUCAAUUAGAGGAGAACUGGCUUGCAACAAUAAGGAGGGGGAGUCACAACAAAAGUGGGCACUGCCUCUUUGUCUGCACCUCUGUGAUCAGAAACAGAAGUCAGUAAUCACAGCAAAGAUCUCUGACAUUUGGAAAGCAGGGUUAUUUUUCAUCAACCCUGGCCCUGCAAUCUGUGUGUGAGCUGCUGGGGACAAGGGAUGGGUAGCUCUUACUGUGCUAUGAGGUGAAAUGGUCAUAAAUUAACUGAAAUGUACCAUCUAAGCCUUCCCUUGGAAGUUGCAAGCCUUCAACAGACUCCAGAGUUUCAAAAUAUUUACAUCAGACUGAUUCUGCCAGUGCAAUUUUUGUGUAGGUAGGGAGACAGACUUCUAGUGCUCCCUACUCUCGUCAGAAGCCUUCUUGUCAGAAGCCUUCCAUCCAUGCUUUAUUAACCACAGGAUAAAAUAAUAUAGUAGAUGGGAUUGUAUUGUGAAAAAAUUAAGAGAAUUGGAGGAAGGCAAAUUAUUAUGUAUAAAAAAGUAACUUAAAAAUCAUUAUUUUCUCCAAAGUACCUGGUGACUUUAUAGUGAGGUAUAAUUUACACAGAGUGAAUGCAUAGAUCUUAAGAACACAAUCAAUUUUAACAAAUAUAUACACCAGUAACCUACAUGCCUGUUAAGAUAUAGGGCAUUUCCUUUAUUCUAGAAAUAUUUCUCAUGCUUCUUCACACCCAGUUCACUCCCCUCACUCAAAGCAAGAACUCUUCUGAUUUUCAUCACCAUUGAUUUGCUUUGCAGGUUCUAGAACUUUGAAGAAGUGGAAGUAUAGAAUACAUGGCCUAUUGAGCCUGAAUUCUGUCCUUCAACAUAACCAAUGUAGAUCUCUGAGAUUAACCAAUGUAGAUCUUUGUCCCCCUUUUUACUCCCAUGUAGUAUUCCAUUAUAAAUAAACGUACCCUUUAUUCAAUAAUCUAUCCUUUUCUAGUUAGACAAGAGAGAGGAUUGUUUCUAGGUUGUAGCUCUUACUAGUAAGGCUGCCGUGAAUAUCCUUGUACAAGGCUUUUGUGGACAUAUAUUUUUGUUUCUCUGAGAUGCAUACCUAGAAACAUCAUGCAACUUUACAAGAAUCUAAUUUAAGCAUGGACCCUAAGAGUGAUUUCCUCAAGUGUCAUGGCUAUUUUAAUAUUCAACCUAGAGGAAUUCCAAUAUUAUUUUCUAAGAAUCUGCACCCCAUAGUGAAGAUGGCCUCUUCUGCCAAAGGAGGACCUAUGUUGCCAAAGAACAUCAGUAUAAUCUUCAUCAAGUUGCCGCUUUCCUUCCUCUGAGCUCUCUCUAUGUGACUGAAAACAAUAAGAAAAUGCCUAGAAGUCAGGCCUAGAACAUUAAAUGGUAAUAGACUCCAAACAACAGCAGAAGUCCAAGAUUGGGCAACUGAUAUUCAGUCCCAUGCACUACUUGAGCCAGUCUUGACUGAAACAGGAAUCACAUCAAAAGAUGAGGCAACACAAUCAGGGCCUUCCGUGUGUCUCUUCUCUGUCAUCAAAUCUUUCUCUCCACUGAAAUUGGGACUCACCAUUAUCCAGUAUGACCUCAUCUUAACUUCAUUACGUUUGCAAAGACCCUAUUUCCAAAUAAAGUCCACAUUCACAGGUACCAAAGGUUUUAGAAUUUCAACAUAUCUUUUUUGAGAGAGACAAUUCAAUCUACAACUUCAUAACUUAAGUAAAAUUUACCACAUUUUACUCUUAUGUUCUUGGACUUGCUUACCGCCCCCUUGCAUGGGUAUGGCGUAAAUUCCAUCCAAUGAUGUGCUACUGAGCAUUUCUCCCCAACUCUAUACUUAGCUGUUAUCGUUAGUCAUAUUGCAUUGAUAACUUGAAAACAGAGUGGAAAUGUUUAUACUAUGGAAACCAGCAAACACCACAAAUCAAGGCUCAAUUUAUUAUUUUGACUGAAAAUACAAAUCUCCUCUAUAGGGCCAGAGAAUAAAUAUUUAUACUUUGUGCACCAUAUGUUUUCUGCAGCAACUACUCAACUCUGUGGUUCUAACAUAAAAGUAGACACGGACAAUACACAAACAAAUAAGCUAGUAGUACUCCAUCAAACUUUAUUUAGAAAGACAGGUGGUAGGCCAGAUUUACCCUGUGGGCUGUAGUUGGUGACCCUUAGUCUAGGGUUAAGAAAGUAAUGGAGAAAAUAUUAAAAAUAUAGAUAAAUUUCAAACUCAUGUCAGUAGCUGUAACAUUAUUAAUAGUACAAACAAAAUUAAGAAAUAUUAUCUUAGUGCUUGAAAACAAUUAUUUGAAUCAGCAAAGAAGUUGGCCAUUGGUGAAUUAGUGACGUUCCAAUAUAUUUAUUGUUUUGUCUUAUGAAUGUAAAUUAAAAUACCAAUAUUCAUGUCAGAAUGUGCUGUAGUAGUUGAUCAAUUAUUACCAGCACAUUGGCAAUAAAUACCAGAGUUUGACAAAAAUCAAGGGAACAGUCUUCAAAAAUCAAUUGGCUGUGUAAAAUUUACAAUAAAGAAUAUCACAUAUUUUGUUACUAUUUGUAACUUGUGUCCUAUGUAUUAUAACAUUUAUGCUAAACUUAUGUAUCCAUAUAUGUGCAUACUUUUUUUUCUGGAGAGUCAUUUGUUAAACAUUUCUUAGCACAUUGCUGCCCAAACCACUAACAUUUGUCAUAAUUCCUGCAAAUGCCAGUAUUCAUAUUGGCAAUGUAAACUCUGAUAGGAUACUGAUAUGAACCAAAAAUGUAAAAAGAGAGUGAAGUAGCAGAAUCUUUUACCACUUCCUAAGAUUGGUAAGAGCUGUACCUCUCAAAGACAAGUUCUAUCAGCAUUAAUAUAUAUGUGAUUAGGAAAUUAGAGCCCAGAGAAAGCUUCACACAUAAAUCUGCUUCCUUUUCAGGAUUAAACUUGAGACUUUUAUUAGAUUGUGAUCUCUUUCUGCAAAUUCAUGUAAAACACAAUACCUACCCAAAAGAAGAGACUUAAAGGUGCAAUGACCACCUAAGUUACAUCUGAAUUCGUGACGUUUUUGGUACAGAUGGUUUGGACCUUGUCUUGCUGCCUUCAUUAGGGCAAGCCAGGCUGGAUUGUUUCUUUUUUGCUUUUCAAAGGGCAUUGACU
RNAcentral lists this long non-coding RNA (4611 nucleotides) under Homo sapiens (human). RNAcentral's name for it is "HSALNT0330755". Lineage: Eukaryota; Metazoa; Chordata; Mammalia; Primates; Hominidae. The record is from RNAcentral.